GCCGCCUCUCCGCGCACGCGCGGGCCGCCCGCAGCCGCCGUUCUGCCGCCGUGUGGAAAGCGGUGGGAAAAGCGGGGUGAACGGCGGUGUAGCUGUUGGGUGAGCAGCCUUGCGCAGCUGGGGGCGAAGGGAUGUUGGAACGAGGUCGGAGCGUGGUGAUGAAUUAGCUGAACUGCUUCUAGCGGAGACGCGUUGGUGGGAGACGCCCCUCGUGGGGACGAGGUGAAGUUGUUCCGUGUGAGAAGUCGCCGUGCGGUGACACCGAGGCGUGCGCUCCUGCCAGGUCGCCAUAAGCCUUUGUGUGGAAUGGGUUGUGAAGGUGCUCUUUGUAACGGGUUUUUGACCUUACUGAGUGCAGAGUGCAAGGGAUGAUGAAACCGAGUCCUGGCCUGAAGUGGUGAUGGAGCACCUGGUGGGGAGGCAGGGCCAACCCAGGGCAGCUCGGGUGCGUGCAGUGUGCCUGAGCGACUGGGAGGGCUGCAGCCGGGAUCCGCCCCUUCCCAGGCCUCAUCUAAGGGUUAGCAGCAGAGGCUAGGGGAUCUCUGCGGGUCCCUGUGUACCUGAGGCUUUCCAAAGUUGAGCAGUUUCUUUCCUUUAUUUCUGUGCCCGCAGCUGAGCAAAUCUUUACUUGCUGCAGCCUGGGACCUUGCAGCUCUGCUGUCACUGUUGCACUUUUCCAUUGCGUUGCAUCCUCUUUGAAGAGGGCUGUAAGAUGGGUUAAGUUAUGGUUCCUGUUAACCUGUCCCAAAGCAUUCUAGGUUUUAACCAUCAGCCUGUUUAUUCCUUUGUUUUUUCUUAGAGUUCAGAGGGUACUAAAGUUUAUGGGGUUGAUCCCUUUAUCAUUUUCCUCUAAAAUGAGUGAAUUGUAAAAGGCUUAGUGAGAAUUUUACUUAAUUGGUGUACAAAAUGCUACUGGAGUUGAAAUUUUUUUUCAUAUUGUUAUUUUUGUGGAUUUAUCCUUUGGAGUUUGAGCAAGAGAGAUUGAAAGAGGAAGAACAAUAAGGACUUCCAGAGCUGAUCUUCCAGAGAAUAGCACAGAGAAAGACAGGUGUUAACUUAAUCUUCAAAUCAGAGAUACAAGUCCAGUUCUCAGUGAAGAUCUUGAUUAGCUGUUCGUUACAGAACUGCAUUUGUUGGAGUCUCCCAUGGCUUUUUCAGGGAAUGUUUUGGACCCUGGUUCAAUGUCAAUGUGUGUAAUAUAUGCAUUAUGAUAAAGAUUUAAAAAAAAAAAAAAGUUCUUACUGAUAAGAGACUUUGAAAUUCUUGUUACAUUAAAAAAAAAAAAAAAGUGUGAAUGCGUAGAGAGCUUAAUAAAGCAUUUUUCUCUACAAGCUGUCAUUCAUGCAGGAAAGCCCUUAGUUGUUCACUCCUAAUAUUUUUAUCUGUGUAAGCAAUAGGAACCCUAACUUAGCUCAAGAAUUCCCAGGCGGAGAUUCAUUGAAUGCUACCAGCAGCAGCCCUGGCAGGUUGAGCUCAUCAGGACUACCAUAGUCCAGGCUUCUUCAGGCAUGUCUUUUGUUAUCUUUCUUUUGUUCUGCUUGCAAGUCUUCUCUAUAUGGAACUUUAGAAGUAUUGCUUUAAUAUUUUUCUAGAAUUUCCAGAUGUUUAGCAGUCUAACUGGAGCCAGUUUUGUAUAAUGCAUCCCCCUGGACUGCCCUAUAUUUGAACAGUCUGGAUGCUUUUAAAGGAAACGUAAAUAUCUUGAAAAAUUCUCUGGUGCAUCAGGGAAUUGCAUGACGAACUUAGUCUGUGCUGAAGUCACCUUCAUCGUGUGCAAUGAGGUGCCUCAAAGCUUUGGUUUACAAAACUGGAAUAGUUAUAACUAUUGGAAAUCCAGAUAUCACAGGGUGAUACCUGUGUGCAUACCUUUAAAUUCACAGGCCAGGACCUCAGCCUUGUGAUCUGUCUCCAUCUUUCCACUGAGCCAUUCACUUAUCAACCUCUUUUUGGCUUUUUUGGGGGGCGUUUUGCUGUCACCAUCAAUGACAAAACCACCACCUGUGCUACCACUGUUAGUGUCCUGAUGCCCUUCCUCAGCCGUAUCACUUUCUUAUUUAUCACUACUAUGCUGUCUUUAUCCAGCUUGAGGAUCUUACAGCCUUGCAGUUAGUGCCACGCUGCUAACAGGCAACCUUAUUCAUAUAUGGAAACACUUUUUCAUUGUCCUUGCCAGGAGUUAAGAUGGCAGGUGGUCAGCUCACCCAAAUAGGCUCAGACACCUUGAUGGGAAAUACUGGAUGUUACAUUCUAUGGCCUGCAUAGAUGCAUGUGAAGAUGCCAUCUGCAUGCCCUGUGCAGGGACUCUAACCUCCCAGUGCCUGUAGGAGGCAGAGUCAGAUAGAGUCACUGCUACAUCACAUGUUCAAGUAAUUGGAGCACUGCUAGUAAUUAAAAAAAAACAACCAAAAUUUAAUAAUUCCAGUCCUAGUAUGAUAGCUGUUCAUGUGGAAAAUACUGUUAAAAAGCACUGACCACCACCUCUGUUACUCAAACUGUGUGAAUUAGUCUUUUGAGUGAAACUGAAUAGAGAGAUAGUUAGGGUUUCCUGCUGUUUAACAUCUAAUCUUAAUGAAAGAUGGGGAGAGUGUUUCAGCAGCACACAUUUCUAAUGAGUUGAAUUAAAACAGUUUGCAGAUGAAAACUUGCUUAAGCCAGCUCACUUGGUGGUGCUGCUUUCUGCUUUUGCAGGCUUCAUAAGGAAAACUGAAGGAGCAUCAGUUGAAGUGACUGAAAUCCUUCUAUGCAGGUGUAAAAUGUGACCCUCCUGAAACAGCUCGUAAAAUUUACAAGAAAUGCAGUUUGGAAUUUGAAAGUAGUUCUUUUGUUGACUCGAAGUGAAUCUAAUGGCAGCUUUCUUAUGUAUCCAUGGGGAGGAGAGGCUGUUAAUUUAAAACUGUUUAAAAAUAAUAUGGGCUGAACAAUAUUUACUGUAUAUUUUGCAAUCAAAACGAGAUUAAUUUUUUUUUAAUAAAUUCAGCACACAUUGAGUUUGUCAAGGUAUUGGGAAUAUAGUGCUUUGUUUAUUUAUUUGUGGAGUAUUUUUAUGUGGAAAUGGAAAGUUAGAGUGCAUCACUGCAUGGGGAAAGCAUUCUCAGGGAAAACAUUCUGGUUGCAUCUCUGACCUAUUGGUAAAAUAAAGUGAAGUUACAAGAUGCUGGUUGAGAAUGCAGAACUAUGUACUGCUCUGUGAAUUUUCUCAGCCAAGGGUCUAGAAGUAGGGUUUUUUCCUUUUUUCCUGAGUUGCUUACCACAGGGCAAGAAUAUAGCUGCUGUUGUUCUGAAGCUGCAAUAAAUCACUGUGCUUGUCCCUGUGAAUGAGCUGGAAGCUCUAAUAUUUCAGAAGUCACGUUUGGGAAAGAAAGAAUUUAAAAUUAUAGUUGUGCUUUGUUCCUAAUGUUUCCUUUUGUUAUGAAAGAGUCUUCCAGUCUGAGCAGAGGAGAGGUUACUAAAUCAAUCACACAAAGAUCUGACAGAAGCUGGCUUUGCCUCCUGGAGGCCAUGCUAUGGGCACUCUUGGAAACCAUGAUAGGUCAGUGCUUGGGCAACCCAGACAAGACUGGCUGAGCACCAGGUGCAGAUGCUUUGGGUUGGAGCAGGAUUUGAGCUGGGUGGCACAGCCAGAGCCAUUGGUCCCUUUCCUGGAAGUGAUGACUGAGUGGCACCAGCAGGGGGAGAGUUGGAUCAGUAUCACAGUGAAGAGGAGGUUAUUGUGAAGACUGACCUACUGAAACUGUAUCGUACCUUGAAUGCAAUAAAACAACUUUGGUUUGGACUAAAUCAUUAUCCAUGGAGAGCUGCAGAAAGCUACCAGGCAUGUCUAAACUCAUAAAAAUAAUGAGAUGGUAAAACCCAUGGAGAGAACUAGUCCAGGAUUUACUUAGUCACCAACUUGGCCUGUUUUGCCAAACUAUGUACUUACAAAUUGUCAUAUUGGAAUUUGCACUGUGUUUUGUGUGGGCUCAAAGAGAAAUGAUAUCUGACUCUGAAAACCACUGUUCUGAGUCCUGGCUUACUGGUUUCCCAUAGUGGUUGAUGGAGAGUUGACUGUCCUGCUGCAAUGGCCAGUACUUACUCAGUACACAUAUAAAUCACUUUCCAUAUUUGAGGAAUAAAGACAAAACCUUGCGGGGAUUUACUGCUAGUGGUUAUUUUGGCAACAGCUGAUGAAUGCAUAUUUGAAACAUCAUUUCUCAUAAUUCCUGUGCCUUAGGAUUUGGCCCCCAUCUAGUUACAACUGUGAAAGCUGGCUGAGAGAGGAACGCAAUCUUCCCGAGUAGCAUUUCCUGAGAUACUAUGGAACCAACACUGGAAAUAACUGCAAGUGGGUGUUGAGCAGAAGGGAGUACUUGGAAUGCUAUUUAGACAGGUCCAGGGUGCUCGAGUAUUUUCCUUAUGUAAAUUGUCCCAUUAUCUGAAAAAAGUAUUAUUUUACUGGCUGGAAGUCAAAGAAAGGGCUUCUUCAUUUGCAGAGGAAACAACAAGCAUGCCUGGAAAAGACUGGGGGCUUACUUGUGCUACCUGCAAAGACCAGACAGUCUUUUAGGGAGAUUAAUAGUCUAAUAUCUGAGUCUCUACAGUUGCCUUAGGAUCCUGUUCUCCUUGUGCAUGCAAUCACUCAGAUGUCAAUUUCAGUUCAUAUUUGCUAGUGCAUCCAGCUUCUUCUUCUGUUGAUUGUAGAAAAGAGUUGCAAAGGUCAUGAACUGAACUGGAAUGGUUGAUAUAGGGUUGUAUUUUUAUGUUCCUGUUUUUGUUUUGUUUUGUUUUAAAUAAAUAUGUAUUUAUUAGUACUACAUGGUUGCUUCGCAGAUAGCUUCAGCACUCCAACCAAGAAUCUGUCUUUGAAUGGAUUGUUUGAGGUUGCCCUCUCAUCUGGACCAAAGGGAAUAAAGGAUGCAAGUCUCCUUCUCUUCCUCCUCUUCUGCUGUCUUUUUUCAGCUUUUCUGUCCUUUAGUAUGCUUCCAAAAGCACUAAAAAGUGAAGGUUCAACAAUUUGCUGCCUGGAAUGCCUCCUGUUUUAAAAUGGGGAUAAAAUAGGUUUGUUAGGUCAGAAGCUCUUUGUCUAGAGAAUUUUUCCUCUUGUCCCAUUAAAAAAAAAAAAAAAAUCAAAAGAAGAAUUAACAAUAAAAUAUGAACUCUGAUGAAAAGCCUAUCUUUCUUAUCUCCAUUAAGUAUUUCUAUUUCUGCUUCGUUUUCCCCAAGAGCCACAGCUUAGCAUCUUCAGUUCCAAAUUGUAGUCUGCCUUGAAGUUUUUAAAUGAAGUUAUAUGAUCUUUCUAGUUUAAAAUCAUCAGUCCUAAGCAGGUUGUAAAUAUCAGAGAUAUCAGAUGAUUUCUUCCCUCUCUUUUUACUUUGUUCACAUCACUGUAGCAAACUAGUAAAAUAUCUGAAUAUCAUAGAAUCACAGAAUCAUUUGAGGGGACCCCUGAAGGCCAUCUCAUUCACCUUUCCUGCAAUGAAUGGAAGCACCUACACUAGAUCAGGUGCUCAGAGCCCUGUCCAACCUGACCUUGAGUGUCUCCAGGGAUGGGACAUCCACCACCUUUCUGGGCAAUCUGUUCCAGUGGGCCUGAUUUGAGUGGAUCUCGUGCUGUGCUGCUGUGUUGCCUGGACUUGCUCAAAGAAGCUCCUACAUUUACCAACAAAUUUCUGCAAUGAAUUUCUUCUUUGAGAGAAUGGAGGACAUGCAUAGGGAAUCUAUGCUGUGUUUGGCAAGAUUGCAUACUGCUGAGUCUGAAUUGGAAGUCAUGAGACAGGGAGAGGUUGGGCAUCAUCAUAUUUCCCUGAGCUGAGGCAAACAAUUUUGCUUGGCAUGGCAUUAAAUAAGAUGUUAAAUUGAAUAUGUACUCCCUUGCCCACAUGUCCUCAGAGUCACUCUCACUUCUAGACAGAAUGCUUCUCAAAAUCCUGGUCAAAGGAGAAAUUUCCAGCUACAGUGUGUUAAAAUGCUUCUCAUAGGGAUGUGCUUGUAUCAGUUUGAAUGUUAGUGAGCCUGCCUGAUUGCAAACACAUUUAAAUUCAUGUUGAGUACGUGAGUACGUGAGAUCACCUCCUUCAAUGUUCAGUCAGACAAUAAGUACCUACACUCUGAUGCCCUCCAUUCCCCUAAAUAGAAACCCAACAUUAAAACAGUCAUUCUAAGAUCCAAGAAGUAAUUAAAUUGUCUAAUGUACACCUCCAUCUCUCCUCAGAUUUUAUUUAGUUCUUUAAUUAUAGUACAGCAAGUUAGAUGAAGCCUCACUGAAACCUCACUGCUUGACAUUCUUAUUCAGAAUAAACUAACACAGCAAAUAAGACCUUUUUCAAUAGGAAAUAAAAUUAGAAGAGUGCAAGACGAAAUCUGAGAUGAUGAACAAGACCAAAACCAGGUACAGAUGGAAAUGUAAAAAGAAUAAAGGAAGCCUUUCAUUUCAAAUAUGUAUGCUGAGAAAUGAUUUACAGAACAAGAUCACCUUCUUGUUGGAGUAGCACUGCAAAUCUAGAGGAAAAACAAGGAUCAGAAACAAAGAAAUAAGGAAUAUUUAGCCAGUUUGGAAAUAGGCACCAGUGGCAAGGAAGAACUUAAUUAGAAACAUCACAAAACAAGCAGAAGUGGACGUCUGGAUUUGAAACACCGUUCUCCUGGAGAAGAAGGCAGGACUGAACUGACAACACUUCUAGCUUCCCCUCUAAAGGAAGAAGGGUUCUAUGAUCAUAUUGCUCAUCCAUCAGUCUCUUAGCAUACCUUUCAUAAUUUGAACCUGUUGGCCAACUUCAAGGAUAUCUGACAAUAUUAAAGUCAAAAUCUGUUUAGCUCACAAUCAGCCAGGUGUUGUGCUGCCUCUUAGUUGCAAAAAAGGACUGUUGGGCAGAGAAAAGAAAACUGGAAGCAAAAGGUGCAUAGGACCUUAUACAGGAUGUAAAGAUGAAUGCACGAAGUGGAAUUGAAGCUUUGUUUAGCCCUGAAAUCCACCUUAGGCAGGGUCAGCGUUGUGUGUCAAAGGAAAGCUGCACAGGCACAGGGCAAGUGCCUUGCCAUGCUUUGACACACUGCCCUCCCAUGCAGUUAGACAGUUCUAUCUCAGAUAUAACGAUUGCGAUCUGAGAGUCAAAAAAAGUACAUCAAGGAAUCUACUCAGCUCAACUCAACAUUGCAGUGAAGAAUAAGAUUUUAUUUGUUAUUAUUUAUUUAUUUUAAGGAGCAAAAAAAGGAAAAAGAAUUGGCAAUAUAGCAACUCAUAACUGAGGUUUGGGUUGUGUGUUACAACUCUGAAAUGAGGCCAAAGAUUUUCGAAGGGUUUUUGAACUUCAUGUUAUUUCCUUGUGGUUUUAUCCAGCAGAAAAGGAAGCACCUGGUAGCACCAAAGACAGAAGCUGAUCUCCAUAAGCCAUAUAGUUCUGCAUCUGUGGAAUAUAUAUGAUAUAGAUAUGAUAGAUAGAUAGAUAGACAGACAGACAGACAGACAGAUAGAUAUGCUAUCUAUGGAACAUGUAUGAAAUGUUUUACUUCUGUAAAGACCUUAGCUGAAAUGAAACUGAUGGUGAGAGAUAUCUUGUACAAAGCAAGCGUAUGUUUACUUCAUCCACACUGUUCAAUUUAUACUAUUUUUUUUUACCUAUCCAAUCUAUAAACAGAGAUGUGUAGAUACAAGCUUGUACUGUAUUACUCCGUAAGCACAAUGUAAUUUUAAUAUGGAUA
This is a non-coding RNA of Phasianus colchicus (ring-necked pheasant), 7674 nucleotides long. The record is from RefSeq and is a predicted model, not a curated record. NCBI's taxonomy places the organism in Eukaryota, Metazoa, Chordata, Aves, Galliformes, Phasianidae.